Molecule: long non-coding RNA, 729 nt
Filed under: Homo sapiens (human)
Lineage: Eukaryota; Metazoa; Chordata; Mammalia; Primates; Hominidae
Description: HSALNT0139366
Source: RNAcentral
CGUGCCCGGGCAUGGUUCAGUGGGGAAAUGGGAGCCUUGGUUCUACACCAGUGAAACCACCCCAGCCCUCUCAAUCAUCUGCAACAGCUGGGUAUCCUGUCUGGGACCUGCCUGCAGAUUUCAGCCACUUCUGGAUACACCUGGGACAGGGCUGAUACCUCCACUGUCUUACACUGUGAAGAGCGGGACAAACCGAUGAGUGACAGACUACUGAAUCAAUCCCCUUUUAAGCUGCUUAAGUUCCAGAUUUAGUUUUAAAGAGAAAAAAAAUUGUCAUCUUUUUAAAAAAACUGCAUCUUCUUUCUCCUAAUAGCUAAUAUUUAUUGAGCAUUCAUGACACGUAUACACUAUUUUAAACUGCCACUGUGGGUUGAUGUCACUCCCCCAUUUUAUAAACAUGGAGACUUUGGUAACUUUCUAACAGUACUUGGCCAGUCAGCCAGGCCUGUGCUCUUCAGAGGCGCAAUGGGGUCUUUAUACUACACACUAAUGCUGUUUGCAUGACCAUCCCUAUCACUUUGUUUUUAAUUUAAGACAAACAUGUAAUUUCCUAUAAUUGAAAUAUAUAUGUGAACUAAAUGCAAUUCCUUUUAGGUCAUACAUUUAAAAUUAUGUUAUAAUGAAAAGUAUUUCCUUUAUAAUAUAGAGGUGGGUCCACAUUAAUGAGAACAUAAUAUAUGGAUUAUAGGCCGACUACUCAUUUAAAAAGAGUGUUUUGCUUUCAAAAGG